CAACUCUUUCCUCUCUUUUCCCCGCUGUUUUCUCGAAGGCGUCGGCCGCUCCUCAAAGCCCCGGCCGGGCCGCGACCGACAAGACCCAGCUUGUUCGCCGCACACACACCUGCAUCACUUUUUCACGGAAUGCUCUCGCUUGUCGCGUCGUCUUUCCUUCGUUUUGCCGCGGAAGUCGAAUGCAGAAGAGCCGAGCCACCGAAUGAAUCUCCAGCAAAAACUCUCGAGCGCCGUCCCUGCGCCCGCCGAACGAGAAAAACUGUAGGCAGGAGUGUGCGGAGAGGCCGACUGAGAGAGACCAGGGGCGACAGGGGCUGUUGACUCGCGAUGAAAACAACAAACUUCGGGACCAGCGCCUGGGGAACGUUUGCAUUCAAAGCCUCCCUCCGCAGAACUGCUUCCAAAAAAGGAGAGCGCGGCAGACGAAACGACGGAGGCGCGAGAGCGACGGAGACGGAGAGAAAAUACGAGGAGACAGACUGGCGCAUUCGCGGACGUUCUGCUGCUUUCAGAGACUACGAGCUCCCCCGCAUUCAAGCGAACCUGAAAACUUUCCGGAGAGCUGUCUCUCGACUCUGUGAUGGACGUUUCAAAAUCUGUUGUAGCGCUCCUUUCCGGUGUCUCGACGCCUCGAUCUGGGCACCGAGGCGAGCCCACAGCCUGCGGCUAGCCUGCUUUUCUUCUCGCCGAAGACGCAGUCACGCCGCCAGCCGCCAAGCUUUCUUGAAAGAGGACGACGCGGAAAAAGAAACCGCGACGCAGACAGCGAGUGAGUGGACGGACGAGUGGCGGUGCUUCGCGUUGCGCCUCCCGGAACGACCCCCGGCUCCCCUUCCACGGGGAUUCCUCGCCCUGCGGGCGUAAACGCUGAGAGCGCCUCGCUCUCUCGACAGACGCCACCCAACUGCACUUGUAACUCGACUUCUGUUCAUCUAUAUCUGUCUCUCUGUCUCUGUCUCUCUGGUUUCCUAUCUACAUAUAUAUACAUAUAUAUAUAUAUACGUAGAUGUACGUAUAUGUGUUUCUGUAUCUACUUCUGCAUGGCUCUGUGUGUGUAUUUCCAUCUACAUUCGACUCUCUUUAUGUGUGAAGAGUUGUUUGCCUUCUUGUGCGCGCGUACUUGUUUGUGGCCUGUCUAGCGCGUGUAGCGCGCCUCGCCUGUGAAGCUCUGAGCUUGUCUUGGAGUCGAGUUCUGCGGCCAGGCACUCGCGUCCACGCAAGGACAGAAAACGUUUCGAGCGAAACGGCGCGUUUCUACGCAUGCAGGCUCGCAAAAACGACUGGAGGACGAGCGCUGGAGGGUGCGAGAACGAGGUGUACGUACACCCGAGCAGCGACGCCUGCGCCGAACGAUGCAGGGUGUGUACACCCGGUUUCGAUCCCUGUCAACGUAGGUUUUGCGAGCCGGUUCUCGCCGUGGUCUGGCCUGCACCAUUUCUCGCGAAGGCGGACCGGGCGUUUUGUGUGGCG
This 1470-nucleotide long non-coding RNA is filed under the name Toxoplasma gondii VEG. Lineage: Eukaryota; Apicomplexa; Conoidasida; Eucoccidiorida; Sarcocystidae. The record is from RNAcentral.